AGUUUGUUCUGGAGUUUGUUCCAUGAAUAAGGAGUGAAGUGAUUGAAAGCAGUGGUAUGCAACUCUGUGGAGACAACUAGAGUCUUUAAUGUAAACCACGUCUGUGAUCUGGUUUUGAAAUGUGUUGGUCUGGUGGAAAUUAAAGAAUAUGCAAAUGGAAGUGCUUUGUAAAUAAACAAGAGCGCAUGUUGCUCUCACCUCACAGAUAUAGGCCCAACCCACAUGUUGAUUUAGACUACAGUGAUGCGUUCUUUAACUAUCACCCAUUAUAACCCUAACCUUCACAGAUAGAGGCCCAACCCACAUGUUGAUAUCGAAUACAGUGAUGAGUUCUGUAACUGUCACUGGUCAAAAACCUCAGUGCACCAUGGGAAAUAGCAUCCAGGGGUUUUAGUGUGUUUGCUGAAGCAUGCAGAUAGAUAUCACCAUAAUCUAAAAUGGUCAUAAAAGUAGCCUGAACAAUUAGUCUUCUAUUAACAGAGGUCAGACAAGCCCUGUCUCUAUAGAAGAACCCUACAUGUUUUUUAAAAGAAAGCCUAUCAUCUAGUAUUUAUAUCCAGAGAUUGUUCGAUAUCAUCCAAUCUGGUAUGUACACAUGUUUAAACUGAGAGAUUUGACCUAGAAGAAACAUUCUUUGCAUUUAAAACAAGUUUAAACUGUAUAUUAGAUCUCUUUAGAAUUAAAAAAUCAGUCAAUUAUUGAAGCCCAAGAAACCCCUUUUGAGUGACUCUAAGGGCUCAGACUUGACACCUUCGACCAUGACAGCCUGAGUUCUGUCUUUAAGAUGAUUAUAAAACCACUAGCAGGCAUCAGUGCCAAGUCCUAUAGAUGACAGCUUACUCAGAAGGAUAGCAUGGGCUACAGUGUUGAAGGCUUUUGACUAGUCCACGAACAACAGCACAGCACAAGGCAUUAGCAAAAUAAUAUACAACAAGCGUGGUGGCCAUUGUGGUACUGUGUUUAGGUCUAAAACCAGACUGAUGUAAAGAAUACUAUUAACAGAAAAAAAAAGACUAAAGACUCAAGGUUCUUUGCCCGACAAGGGAGUCUAGAGAUGAUUAAGUCACUACUGCCCUUAUGUAAUGUGUGGAAGAUUAAUUAAUUAUGUUUGAAUAAAUUCCAUAUUAAUGCUGCAUGAAUACACUGAUCAGCCAUAACAUUAUGACCACCUGCCUAAUAUUGUGUAGGUCCCUCUUUUGCCGCCAAAACAGUCCUGACCUGUCGAGGCAUGGACUCCACUAGACCUCUGAAGGUGUGCUGUGGUAUCUGGCACCAAGACGUUAGCAGCAAAUCCUUUUGGAUUGAGAUCUUGGGAAUUUGGAGGCCAAGUCAACACUUUGAACUCGUUGUUGUGUUACUCAAACCAUUCCUGAACCAUUUUUGCUUUGUGACAGGGCGCAUUAUCCGGCUGAAAGAGGCCAGUGACAUCAGGGAAUAUCGUUGCCAUGAAAGGGUGCACAUGGUCUGCAACAAUGCUUAGUGCAUCCUGGUGUCAUGUGUUCUCCAGGAAAGUGACACACACACACCCGGCCAUCCAUGUGAUGUAAAAGAAAACAUGAUUCAUCAGACCAGGCCACUGUCUUCCAUUACUCUGUGGUCCAGUUCAGAUACUCACAUGUCCACUGUAGGCGCUUUCGGCCGUGGACGGGGUCAGCAUGGACACCCUGAC
Esox lucius (northern pike) is the source of this 1669-nucleotide long non-coding RNA. Lineage: Eukaryota; Metazoa; Chordata; Actinopteri; Esociformes; Esocidae. The record is from Ensembl.